Molecule: ribosomal RNA, 253 nt
Filed under: uncultured bacterium
Lineage: Bacteria
Description: partial 16S ribosomal RNA
Rfam family: Bacterial small subunit ribosomal RNA
Source: RNAcentral
UACGAAGGGGGCGAGCGUUGUUCGGAGUUACUGGGCGUAAAGGGCGCGUAGGCGGCGAUCCAAGUUAGGCGUGAAAGCCCCGGGCUUAACCUGGGAAUUGCGCUUAAGACUGGAUUGCUUGAAUCCGGGAGAGGGAUGUGGAAUUCCAGGUGUAGCGGUGAAAUGCGUAGAUAUCUGGAGGAACAUCGGUGGCGAAGGCGGCAUCCUGGACCGGUAUCGACGCUGAGGCGCGAAAGCCAGGGGAGCAAACGGG